This 495-nucleotide ribosomal RNA is filed under the name uncultured bacterium. Its description in RNAcentral is "partial 16S ribosomal RNA". It matches the Rfam family "Bacterial small subunit ribosomal RNA", at positions 28 to 507 of the family's 1533-position model. The record is from RNAcentral.
GACGAACGCUGGCGGCGUGCCUAAUACAUGCAAGUAGAACGCUGAAGGAGGAGCUUGCUUCUCUGGAUGAGUUGCGAACGGGUGAGUAACGCGUAGGUAACCUACCUGGUAGCGGGGGAUAACUAUUGGAAACGAUAGCUAAUACCGCAUAAGAGUAGAUGUCGCAUGACAUUUGCUUAAAAGGUGCAAUUGCAUCACUACCAGAUGGACCUGCGUUGUAUUAGCUAGUUGGUGAGGUAACGGCUCACCAAGGCAACGAUACAUAGCCGACCUGAGAGGGUGAUCGGCCACACUGGGACUGAGGCACGGCCCAGACUCCUACGGGAGGCAGCAGUAGGGAAUCUUCGGCAAUGGACGGAAGUCUGACCGAGCAACGCCGCGUGAGUGAAGAAGGUUUUCGGAUCGUAAAGCUCUGUUGUAAGAGAAGAACGAGUGUGAGAGUGGAAAGUUCACACUGUGACGGUAUCUUACCAGAAAGGGACGGCUAACUACGUG